GCCUGGGUGGCUCAGUCGGUUAAGCGUCCGACUUCGGCUCAGGUCAUGAUCUCAUGGUUUGUGGGUUCGAGCCCCGCUUCGGGCU
This 85-nucleotide transfer RNA is filed under the name Felis catus (domestic cat). It matches the Rfam family "tRNA". From Rfam's summary of the family: Transfer RNA (tRNA) molecules are approximately 80 nucleotides in length. Their secondary structure includes four short double-helical elements and three loops (D, anti-codon, and T loops). Lineage: Eukaryota; Metazoa; Chordata; Mammalia; Carnivora; Felidae. The record is from Rfam by way of RNAcentral.